This 2429-nucleotide ribosomal RNA is filed under the name Streptococcus pneumoniae K2521. RNAcentral describes it as "bacterial LSU rRNA". It matches the Rfam family "Bacterial large subunit ribosomal RNA", at positions 485 to 2925 of the family's 2925-position model. Lineage: Bacteria; Bacillati; Bacillota; Bacilli; Lactobacillales; Streptococcaceae. The record is from RNAcentral.
CGAUAGUGAACCAGUACCGUGAGGGAAAGGUGAAAAGCACACCCGGGAGGGGAGUGAAAUAGAACCUGAAACCGUGUGCCUACAACAAGUUCGAGCCCGUUAAUGGGUGAGAGCGUGCCUUUUGUAGAAUGAACCGGCGAGUUACGUUAUGAUGCGAGGUUAAGUUGAAGAGACGGAGCCGUAGGGAAACCGAGUCUGAAUAGGGCGCCUUAGUAUCAUGACGUAGACCCGAAAACCAUGUGACCUACCCAUGAGCAGGUUGAAGGUGCGGUAAGACGCACUGGAGGACCGAACCAGGGCACGUUGAAAAGUGCUUGGAUGACUUGUGGGUAGCGGAGAAAUUCCAAACGAACUUGGAGAUAGCUGGUUCUCUCCGAAAUAGCUUUAGGGCUAGCGUCGACAUUAGAGAUUCUUGGAGGUAGAGCACUGUUUGGGUGAGGGGUCCAUCCCGGAUUACCAAUCUCAGAUAAACUCCGAAUGCCAAUGAAUUAUGGUCGGCAGUCAGACUGCGAGUGCUAAGAUCCGUAGUCGAAAGGGAAACAGCCCAGACCACCAGCUAAGGUCCCAAAAUAAUUGUUAAGUGGAAAAGGAUGUGGGGUUGCACAGACAACUAGGAUGUUAGCUUAGAAGCAGCUAUUCAUUCAAAGAGUGCGUAAUAGCUCACUAGUCGAGUGACCCUGCGCCGAAAAUGUACCGGGGCUAAAACAAUUUACCGAAGCUGUGGAUACCUUUAUAGGUAUGGUAGGAGAGCGUUCUAUGUGUGAUGAAGGUAUACCGUGAGGAGUGCUGGAACGCAUAGAAGUGAGAAUGCCGGUAUGAGUAGCGAAAGACAGGUGAGAAUCCUGUCCACCGUAAGACUAAGGUUUCCAGGGGAAGGCUCGUCCGCCCUGGGUUAGUCGGGACCUAAGGAGAGACCGAAAGGUGUAUCCGAUGGACAACAGGUUGAUAUUCCUGUACUAGAGUAUGUAGUGAUGGAGGGACGCAGUAGGCUAACUAAAGCAGACGAUUGGAAGAGUCUGUCUAAGCAGUGAGGUGUGAUAUGAGUCAAAUGCUUAUAUCUGUAACAUUGAGCUGUGAUGGGGAGCGAAGUUUAGUAGCGAAGUUAGUGACGUCACACUGCCAAGAAAAGCUUCUAGCGUUUAAACAUACUCUACCCGUACCGCAAACCGACACAGGUAGUCGAGGCGAGUAGCCUCAGGUGAGCGAGAGAACUCUCGUUAAGGAACUCGGCAAAAUGACCCCGUAACUUCGGGAGAAGGGGUGCUGACUUUAAGUCAGCCGCAGUGAAUAGGCCCAAGCAACUGUUUAUCAAAAACACAGCUCUCUGCUAAAUCGUAAGAUGAUGUAUAGGGGGUGACGCCUGCCCGGUGCUGGAAGGUUAAGAGGAGUGCUUAGCGUAAGCGAAGGUAUGAAUUGAAGCCCCAGUAAACGGCGGCCGUAACUAUAACGGUCCUAAGGUAGCGAAAUUCCUUGUCGGGUAAGUUCCGACCCGCACGAAAGGCGUAAUGAUUUGGGCACUGUCUCAACGAGAGACUCGGUGAAAUUUUAGUACCUGUGAAGAUGCAGGUUACCCGCGACAGGACGGAAAGACCCCAUGGAGCUUUACUGCAGUUUGAUAUUGAGUGUCUGUACCACAUGUACAGGAUAGGUAGGAGUCUAAGAGAUCGGGACGCCAGUUUCGAAGGAGACGCUGUUGGGAUACUACCCUUGUGUUAUGGCCACUCUAACCCAGAUAGGUGAUCCCUAUCGGAGACAGUGUCUGACGGGCAGUUUGACUGGGGCGGUCGCCUCCUAAAAGGUAACGGAGGCGCCCAAAGGUUCCCUCAGAAUGGUUGGAAAUCAUUCGCAGAGUGUAAAGGUAUAAGGGAGCUUGACUGCGAGAGCUACAACUCGAGCAGGGACGAAAGUCGGGCUUAGUGAUCCGGUGGUUCCGUAUGGAAGGGCCAUCGCUCAACGGAUAAAAGCUACCCUGGGGAUAACAGGCUUAUCUCCCCCAAGAGUUCACAUCGACGGGGAGGUUUGGCACCUCGAUGUCGGCUCGUCGCAUCCUGGGGCUGUAGUCGGUCCCAAGGGUUGGGCUGUUCGCCCAUUAAAGCGGCACGCGAGCUGGGUUCAGAACGUCGUGAGACAGUUCGGUCCCUAUCCGUCGCGGGCGUAGGAAAUUUGAGAGGAUCUGCUCCUAGUACGAGAGGACCAGAGUGGACUUACCGCUGGUGUACCAGUUGUCUUGCCAAAGGCAUCGCUGGGUAGCUAUGUAGGGAAGGGAUAAACGCUGAAAGCAUCUAAGUGUGAAACCCACCUCAAGAUGAGAUUUCCCAUGAUUAUAUAUCAGUAAGAGCCCUGAGAGAUGAUCAGGUAGAUAGGUUAGAAGUGGAAGUGUGGCGACACAUGUAGCGGACUAAUACUAAUAGCUCGAGGACUUAUCCAAA